AUUGAACGCUGGCGGCAGGCCUAACACAUGCAAGUCGAACGGUAACAGGAAGAAGCUUGCUUCUUUGCUGACGAGUGGCGGACGGGUGAGUAAUGUCUGGGAAACUGCCUGAUGGAGGGGGAUAACUACUGGAAACGGUAGCUAAUACCGCAUAACGUCGCAAGACCAAAGAGGGGGACCUUCGGGCCUCUUGCCAUCGGAUGUACCCAGAUGGGAUUAGCUUGUUGGUGGGGUAACGGCUCACCAAGGCGACGAUCCCUAGCUGGUCUGAGAGGAUGACCAGCCACACUGGAACUGAGACACGGUCCAGACUCCUACGGGAGGCAGCAGUGGGGAAUAUUGCACAGUGGGCGCAAGCCUGAUGCAGCCAUGCCGCGUGUAUGAAGAAGGCCUUCGGGUUGUAAAGUACUUUCAGCGGGGAGGAAGGGAGUAAAGUUAAUACCUUUGCUCAUUGACGUUACCCGCAGAAGAAGCACCGGCCAACUCCGUG
This 490-nucleotide ribosomal RNA is filed under the name uncultured bacterium. RNAcentral's name for it is "partial 16S ribosomal RNA". It matches the Rfam family "Bacterial small subunit ribosomal RNA", at positions 30 to 507 of the family's 1533-position model. The record is from RNAcentral.